CCCUACGGGGGGCAGCAGUAGGGAAUUUUCGUCAAUGGGCGCAAGCCUGAACGAGCAAUGCCGCGUGAACGAGGAAGGUCUUCGGAUCGUAAAGUUCUGUUGCAGGGGAAAAAGAGCGGAGAGAGGAAAUGCUUUCUGAUUGAUAUUACCCUUCGAGGAAGUCACGGCUAACUACGUGCCAGCAGCCGCGGUAAUACGUAGGUGGCGAGCGUUAUCCGGAAUGAUUGGGCGUAAAGGGUGCGUAGGCGGCCUGCUAAGUCUGGAGUGAAAGGUACCGGCUCAACCGGUACAGGCUCUGGGAACUG
This 305-nucleotide ribosomal RNA is filed under the name uncultured bacterium. RNAcentral describes it as "bacterial SSU rRNA". It matches the Rfam family "Bacterial small subunit ribosomal RNA", at positions 337 to 635 of the family's 1533-position model. The record is from RNAcentral.